ACCUGCCACCACACCCGGCUAAUUUUUGUAUUUUUAGUGGAGACGAGGUUGGCCAGGCUGGUCUUCAACUCUUGACCUGAGGCGGUCGGCCUGCCGCAGCUUCCCAAAGUGCUGAGAUUACAGGCAUGAGCCUCGGCACCCAGCCUUUUUUUGCAUUAUUACUGUUUUUUAGGGGCUUUCCAGCAAAACCCAGAAAGACCGCUAGACAGGUUCUGGAGCAGCUGGUGCCGCUUCUGUCUUUAGGUCUGUAAUGGGUCGGUCAGAGUGCGCGCUCCUGUCUUCAGGUCUGUAAUGGGUCGGUCAGAGUGCGCGCUCCUGUCUUUAGGUCUGUAAUGGGUCGGUCAGAGUGCGCGCUCCUGUCUUUAGGUCUGUAAUGGGUCUGUGUGAUUGUGCCGCCACGCCUCUCCCUGUGCCCCCCGAGAAGGUGAGACUCUGGUUAGAGGGCCCAGCAGAGCAUCAGCGCGCUGCACUGCGGGAAGGGAGGCGCCCCACAUGUUGUGCCCCUUGAAGAUGACUUCUGGUCUGGCUUUGACAAUUUUUUUUUUUAAAUGGAGCUGACCCAGUAAAGGUGACCUGGAACUAUUUUUCUCCUGACCUACUUUUGCAAGAUUAUUAUUAUUUUUUUUUAAAUGUGGAUAUUGUUGUGGUAAAAUAUACAGAUAGCCAAGCUUGGCAGUGGCUGUGUUCCCGGCUGUUUGGGAGGCGGAGGCAGAAGGAGUGCUGGAGCCCGAGCUCGGUGGUGUACUGUGCGAUGGUCUUGCCUGUGAACAGCCUCUGCACUGCAGCCUGGAUAACACAGCGAGACCCUGUCUCGACAAAACAAUUAAAAAAAUACAUUCACAUAAA
Non-coding RNA from Macaca mulatta (Rhesus monkey), 846 nucleotides. NCBI's taxonomy places the organism in Eukaryota, Metazoa, Chordata, Mammalia, Primates, Cercopithecidae. The record is from RefSeq and is a predicted model, not a curated record.